GCAGAGCAUAGUGCUCGUACCUUUUGCAUCAUGUUUUAGCUAGAAAUAUUCAGGCAAAGAGAACUUUAGUCUGAACCCCCGAAACUAAGUGAGCUACUCCAAGACAGCCUAUUUUAGGGCACACCCGUCUCUGUGGCAAAAGAGUGGGAAGAGCUUUGAGUAGAGGUGAUAGACCUACCGAACUUAGUUAUAGCUGGUUACCUGAGAAAUGGAUAGAAGUUCAGCCUUUUGGCUUCUCUAGAAACCAAAAGAGUUAGUCAAAGGAGGUACAGCUCCUCUGAAUAAAGAAACAACUUUUAUAGAUGGAUAAAGAUCACAAACAACAAGGAUGAGUGUUCAGGUGGGCUUAAAACCAGCCAUCCAUAUAGAAAGCGUUACAGCUCCUACACAGGAUCCUGAUAAUAUAAUCUUAAUCCCCUACCCCCUAACAGGUUAUUCUAUGCCUCCAUAGAAGAGAUAAUGCUAAUAUGAGUAAUAAGAGACGACUCUCUCCACGCACAAGUGUACAUCGGCAUGGACCAUCCACCGAACCUUAACGGCCCCAAACAAAGAGGGUAUUAAAUCCACAGGAAAACUAUUUACCGUUAAACCUACACUGGUGUGCCACCUGGGAAAGACUAAAAAGAAAAGAAGGAACUCGGCAAACAAGCCCCGCCUGUUUACCAAAAACAUCGCCUCUUGAAAAAAUAAGAGGUCCCGCCUGCCCAGUGACGAUGAGUUCAACGGCCGCGGUAUUCUGACCGUGCAAAGGUAGCGCAAUCAAUUGUCUUUUAAAUGAAGACCUGUAUGAAUGGCAUAACGAAGGCUUAACUGUCUCCUUUUCUAAGUCAAUGAAAUUGAUCUUCCCGUGCAGAAGCGGGAAUAAUAACAUAAGACGAGAAGACCCUAUGGAGCUUUAGACAUAAGCAGACCUUGUUAAACACCCCUACUAAAGGACUAAACCAAAUUGACCCUGUCUAAAUGUCUUUGGUUGGGGCGACCGCGGGGAAAUAAAAAACCCCCAUGAGGACUGGAAACAUUUCCACAGCUAAGAGCUCCCGUUCAAGGAAACAGAAUAUCUGACCACAAGAUCCGGCAAUGCCGAACAACGGACCGAGUUACCCUAGGGAUAACAGCGCAAUCCCCUUUAAGAGCCCAUAUCGACAAGGGGGUUUACGACCUCGAUGUUGGAUCAGGACAUCCUAAUGGUGCAA
Molecule: ribosomal RNA, 1193 nt
Filed under: Elassoma evergladei (Everglades pygmy sunfish)
Lineage: Eukaryota; Metazoa; Chordata; Actinopteri; Centrarchiformes; Elassomatidae
Description: partial 16S ribosomal RNA
Rfam family: Bacterial large subunit ribosomal RNA
Source: RNAcentral